GGAAAACGUGUGUAAAAAGGCCAUGUUCUAAUGUCUCCACUGUGCGACCCAGGGACGUAGAUGCCAGUUUAUGGUCUGCUCUCGGGAACCACCAGCGAACCUUAAGCAUCUGACUCCUCAGCUCAGAGCCUUACACCCGUAGUUACUGAUGUUGAUUGGAAGUAUGAGUUAUCUGCUCCCAGCCUUCUUCAGAGCUGUUGUGAAAGUGAACGAUGUAUGUGUCUGUCUGCAGAAAGCUUUCCAGAAUUAAACAUCUCACUGUUCCUUGAGAAAAGCUUACUGAGCAUCUUUAAGAUGGCUAUUUUGGAUUCUUUGUCAGCAGCCCCCAACCUACUGCCCAAACUGCUGUUCCCAUCAGUGUUCUAAGUCAGACAAGACAGAAGCCAGUCCCUUGAGCAGCCCCCCAAGAGAAUGUUGGAUGCACAGCUCACUCUUUUUCCUGCUUGAGGGAGAAGCUGGAGUUGGG
Molecule: long non-coding RNA, 466 nt
Filed under: Equus asinus (donkey)
Lineage: Eukaryota; Metazoa; Chordata; Mammalia; Perissodactyla; Equidae
Description: lncRNA (ENSEASG00005038384.1)
Source: RNAcentral